AACGAACGCUGGCGGCAUGCCUAACACAUGCAAGUCGAACGAGAUCCUUCGGGGUCUAGUGGCGCACGGGUGCGUACCGCGUGGGAAUCUGCCCUUAGGUUCGGAAUAACAGUUAGAAAUGACUGCUAAUACCGGAUGAUGACGUUAAGUCCAAAGAUUUAUCGCCUGAGGAUGAGCCCGCGUAGGAUUAGCUAGUUGGUGUGGUAAAGGCGCACCAACGCGACGAUCCUUAGCUGGUCUGAGAGGAUGAUCAGCCACACUGGGACUGAGACACGGCCCAGACUCCUACGGGAGGCAGCAGUGGGGAAUAUUGGAAAGUGGGCGCAAGCCUGAUCCAGCAAUGCCGCGUGAGUGAUGAAGGCCUUAGGGUUGUAAAGCUCUUUUACCCGGGAUGAUAAUGACAGUACCGGGAGAAUAAGCCCCGGCUAACUCCGUG
This 436-nucleotide ribosomal RNA is filed under the name uncultured bacterium. RNAcentral's name for it is "partial 16S ribosomal RNA". It matches the Rfam family "Bacterial small subunit ribosomal RNA", at positions 29 to 507 of the family's 1533-position model. The record is from RNAcentral.